AUUGAACGCUGGCGGCAGGCCUAACACAUGCAAGUCGAACGAGUGGCGGACGGGUGAGUUAUGUCUGGGAAACUGCCUGAUGGAGGGGGAUCACUACCGGAAACGGUAGCUAAUACCGCAUACCAUCAGAUGUGCCCAGAUGGGAUUAGCUGGUUGGUGGGGUAACGGCUCACCAAGGCGACGAUCCCUAGCUGGUCUGAGAGGAUGACCAGCCACACUGGAACUGAGACACGGUCCAGAAGCCUACGGGAGGCAGCAGUGGUGAAGAUGGCACAAGGGGCGCAAGCCUGAUGCAGCCAUGCCGCGUGUAUGAAGAAGGCCUUCGGUGUGUAAAGUACUGUCAGCGGGGAGGCGUUACCCGCAGAAGAAGCACCGGCUAACUCCGUGCCAGCAGCCGCGGUAAUUC
Molecule: ribosomal RNA, 406 nt
Filed under: uncultured bacterium
Lineage: Bacteria
Description: partial 16S ribosomal RNA
Rfam family: Bacterial small subunit ribosomal RNA
Source: RNAcentral